GAUGAACGCUGGCGGCGUGCCUAAUACAUGCAAGUCGAGCGAACAGACGAGGAGCUUGCUCCUCUGACGUUAGCGGCGGACGGGUGAGUAACACGUGGAUAACCUACCUAUAAGACUGGGAUAACUUCGGGAAACCGGAGCUAAUACCGGAUAAUAUAUGGAACCGCAUGGUUCAAUAGUGAAAGACGGUUUUGCUGUCACUUAUAGAUGGAUCCGCGCCGCAUUAGCUAGUUGGUAAGGUAACGGCUUACCAAGGCAACGAUGCGUAGCCGACCUGAGAGGUUGUUCGGCCACCCUGCAGCUGAGACACCGUCAAGACUCUUACGGGAGGCAGCAGAGGGUGAUCUUCCGCAAUGGGCCAAAGCCUGUCGGAGCAACGCCUCGUGCGUUAUGAAGGCCCUCGGAUCGUCAAACUCUGUUAUUAGGGAAGAACAUAUGUGUACGUAACUAUGCACGUCUUGACGGUACCUAAUCAGAAAGCCACGGCUAACUACGUG
RNAcentral lists this ribosomal RNA (497 nucleotides) under uncultured bacterium. RNAcentral describes it as "partial 16S ribosomal RNA". It matches the Rfam family "Bacterial small subunit ribosomal RNA", at positions 28 to 507 of the family's 1533-position model. The record is from RNAcentral.